This 231-nucleotide ribosomal RNA is filed under the name uncultured bacterium. RNAcentral describes it as "partial 16S ribosomal RNA". It matches the Rfam family "Bacterial small subunit ribosomal RNA", at positions 118 to 347 of the family's 1533-position model. The record is from RNAcentral.
UGAGCAAUCUGCCCUUCUCAUCGGAAUAAGCGUUGGAAACGACGUCUAAUGCCGAAUACGACCUCCUUUCGCAUGAUCGGAGGUGGAAAGCUCCGGCGGAGAAGGAUGAGCUCGCGGCCUAUCAGCUAGUUGGUGUGGGUAAUGGCCCACCAAGGCGACGACGGGUAGCCGGCCUGAGAGGGUGACCGGCACACACUGGGACUGAGACACGGCCCAGACCUCCGUAGGAGG